RNAcentral lists this ribosomal RNA (495 nucleotides) under uncultured bacterium. Its description in RNAcentral is "partial 16S ribosomal RNA". It matches the Rfam family "Bacterial small subunit ribosomal RNA", at positions 28 to 507 of the family's 1533-position model. The record is from RNAcentral.
GACGAACGCUGGCGGCGUGCCUAAUACAUGCAAGUAGAACGCUGAAGGAGGAGCUUGCUUCUCUGGAUGAGUUGCGAACGGGUGAGUAACGCGUAGGUAACCUGCCCGGUAGCGGGGGAUAACUAUUGGAAACGCUAGCUAAUACCGCAUAAUAGUAGAUGUUGCAUGACAUUUGCCUAAAAGGUGCAAUUGCAUCACUACCAGAUGGACCUGCGUUGUUUUAGCUAGUUGGUGGGAUAACGGCUGACCCAAGCGACGAUACAUAGCCGACCCGGGGAGGGGGUCGGCCACACUGGGACCGGGACACCGCCCCGACUCCUACCGGGGGCAGCAGGAGGGGAUCUUCGCCAAUGGGCCGAAGGCUGACCGGGCCACGCCGCGGUAGUGAAGAAGGUUUUCCGGUCGUUAAGCUCUGUUGUUUGGGAAGAACGAGUGUGGGAGUGAAAAGUUCACACUGUGACGGUAUCUUACCAGAAAGCGACGGCUAACUACGUG